GUCGAGGAUCUUCGGCAAUGGGCGCAAGCCUGACCGAGCGACGCCGCGUGUGCGAUGAAGGCCUUCGGGUUGUAAAGCACUGUCGAGGGGGAGGAAGCCGCAAGGUUGACCUAUCCCUGGAGGAAGCUCGGGCUAAGUUCGUGCCAGCAGCCGCGGUAAGACGAACCGAGCGAACGUUGUUCGGAAUCACUGGGCUUAAAGGGCGCGUAGGCGGGCAGCCAAGUCUGUGGUGAAAUCUUUCGGCUCAACCGGAAAACUGCCGUGGAUACUGGCUGUCUCGAGGGAGGUAGGGGCAUGUGGAACUUCCGGUGGAGCGGUGAAAUGCGUUGAUAUCGGAAGGAACUCCGGUGGCGAAAGCGACGUGCUGGACCUCUUCUGACGCUGAGGCGCGAAAGCUAGGGGAGCAAACGGGAUUAGAUACCCCAGUAGUCC
Molecule: ribosomal RNA, 432 nt
Filed under: uncultured bacterium
Lineage: Bacteria
Description: bacterial SSU rRNA
Rfam family: Bacterial small subunit ribosomal RNA
Source: RNAcentral